Molecule: ribosomal RNA, 301 nt
Filed under: uncultured bacterium
Lineage: Bacteria
Description: partial 16S ribosomal RNA
Rfam family: Bacterial small subunit ribosomal RNA
Source: RNAcentral
CAGCAGCCGCGGUAACACGAAGGGUGCAAGCGUUAAUCGGAAUUACUGGGCGUAAAGCGUGCGUAGGCGGUUUGUUAAGUCUGCUGUGAAAUCCCCGGGCUCAACCUGGGAAUGGCAGUGGAUACUGGCAAGCUAGAGUGUGUCAGAGGAUGGUGGAAUUCCCGGUGUAGCGGUGAAAUGCGUAGAGAUCGGGAGGAACAUCAGUGGCGAAGGCGGCCAUCUGGACAACACUGACGCUGAGGCACGAAAGCGUGGGGAGCAAACAGGAUUAGAUACCCCAGUAGUCCCUGUCUCUUAUACA